UGCAAGUCGAACGAAGUAGCAAUACUUAGUGGCAGACGGGUGAGUAACAUGUAGGUAUCUGCCCUUUGGCCUGGAAUAACACGAGGAAACUUGUGCUAAUACCGGAUAAGUCUUUACGGAGAAAGCUUUAUGCACCAUUGGAUGAGCCUGCACUUGAUUAGUUAGUUGGUAGGGUAAAAGCCUACCAAGACUUUGAUCAAUAGCUGAUUUGAGAGGAUGAUCAGCCACAUUGGGACUGAGACACGGCCCAAACUCCUACGGGAGGCAGCAGUGGGGAAUCUUGCACAAUGGAGGAAACUCUGAUGCAGCGAUGCCGCGUGAGUGAAGAAGGCCCUUGGGUUGUAAAGCUCUUUCGUCGGGGAAGAAAAUGACUGUACCCGAAUAAGAAGGUCCGGCUAACUUCGUGCCAGCAGCCGCGGUAAUACGAAGGGACCUAGCGUAGUUCGGAAUUACUGGGCUUAAAGAGUUCGUAGGUGGUUGAAAAAGUUGGUGGUGAAAUCCCAGAGCUUAACUCUGGAACUGCCAUCAAAACUUUUCAGCUAGAGUUUGAUAGAGGAAAGCAGAAUUUCUAGUGUAGAGGUGAAAUUCGUAGAUAUUAGAAAGAAUACCAAUUGCGAAGGCAGCUUUCUGGAUCAUUACUGACACUGAGGAACGAAAGCAUGGGUAGCGAAGAGGAUUAGAUACCCUCGUAGUCCAUGCCGUAAACGAUGUGUGUUAGACGUUGGAAAUUUAUUUUCAGUGUCGCAGCGAAAGCGAUAAACACACCGCCUGGGGAGUACGACCGCAAGGUUAAAACUCAAAUGAAUUGACGGGGACCCGCACAAGUAGUGGAGCAUGUGGUUUAAUUCGAAGAUACGCGCAGAACCUUACCAACACUUGACAUGUUCGUCGCGACUUUAAGA
This 902-nucleotide ribosomal RNA is filed under the name uncultured marine bacterium. RNAcentral's name for it is "bacterial SSU rRNA". It matches the Rfam family "Bacterial small subunit ribosomal RNA", at positions 56 to 1006 of the family's 1533-position model. The record is from RNAcentral.